UUGGCCAUAAUUACGUUCGAACAUCAAUAUUUGUGAGUGAUCGCCUGGCUCUUCAGUUCCUUCACCAUGGCAUCCUCGUCAUUGUUCAGAGUGAUCUUCUUUGGUGCUUUGGAGACCAAAUAAUUCCAAUUACGCUGGACGCCCUCGAAGCCAUUAGGAUCCUUACAGUAUGAUAAACUGAUCUUUCCAGUUCUUUAGCAAGGAAGGGAGAUCGGUGAAGAGCCCG
RNAcentral lists this unclassified non-coding RNA (226 nucleotides) under Hevea brasiliensis (rubber tree). The record is from RNAcentral. Lineage: Eukaryota; Viridiplantae; Streptophyta; Magnoliopsida; Malpighiales; Euphorbiaceae.